UGUCUACAAUAAAAACACACCGCUAAUACAUGUGACAUCUUUGCAUGUCCUUUUGUGAUCUCUCACCUUAGAUUCCACAUGUUUCAUGUCAUCGCGAUCCAGAGGUUUCAGAUGAGCGCCAUUCACCUGUCAUUAUAAUUUGAAAAAUUUUUUAAUGAGUUUCAAAUAUAAACUAAACGCAAUGAAUACUCAAACCUAUAUAUAGUUAUGUAUGAUUAAACAUAGUUAUGUGUAA
Long non-coding RNA from Pogonomyrmex barbatus (red harvester ant), 235 nucleotides. The record is from RefSeq and is a predicted model, not a curated record. Lineage: Eukaryota; Metazoa; Arthropoda; Insecta; Hymenoptera; Formicidae.